Molecule: ribosomal RNA, 2770 nt
Filed under: Klebsiella pneumoniae
Lineage: Bacteria; Pseudomonadati; Pseudomonadota; Gammaproteobacteria; Enterobacterales; Enterobacteriaceae
Description: bacterial LSU rRNA
Rfam family: Bacterial large subunit ribosomal RNA
Source: RNAcentral
CACUAUCGUUAACUGAAUACAUAGGUUAACGAGGCGAACCGGGGGAACUGAAACAUCUAAGUACCCCGAGGAAAAGAAAUCAACCGAGAUUCCCCCAGUAGCGGCGAGCGAACGGGGAGCAGCCCAGAGUCUGAAUCAGCUUGUGUGUUAGUGGAACGGUCUGGAAAGUCCGACGGUACAGGGUGAUAGUCCCGUACACCAAAAUGCACAGGUUGUGAACUCGAAGAGUAGGGCGGGACACGUGGUAUCCUGUCUGAAUAUGGGGGGACCAUCCUCCAAGGCUAAAUACUCCUGACUGACCGAUAGUGAACCAGUACCGUGAGGGAAAGGCGAAAAGAACCCCGGCGAGGGGAGUGAAAAAGAACCUGAAACCGUGUACGUACAAGCAGUGGGAGCACCUUCGGGUGUGACUGCGUACCUUUUGUAUAAUGGGUCAGCGACUUAUAUUCUGUAGCAAGGUUAACCGUAUAGGGGAGCCGCAGGGAAACCGAGUCUUAACUGGGCGUUAAGUUGCAGGGUAUAGACCCGAAACCCGGUGAUCUAGCCAUGGGCAGGUUGAAGGUUGGGUAACACUAACUGGAGGACCGAACCGACUAAUGUUGAAAAAUUAGCGGAUGACUUGUGGCUGGGGGUGAAAGGCCAAUCAAACCGGGAGAUAGCUGGUUCUCCCCGAAAGCUAUUUAGGUAGCGCCUCGUGAACUCAUCUUCGGGGGUAGAGCACUGUUUCGGCUAGGGGGUCAUCCCGACUUACCAACCCGAUGCAAACUACGAAUACCGAAGAAUGUUAUCACGGGAGACACACGGCGGGUGCUAACGUCCGUCGUGAAGAGGGAAACAACCCAGACCGCCAGCUAAGGUCCCAAAGUCAUGGUUAAGUGGGAAACGAUGUGGGAAGGCACAGACAGCCAGGAUGUUGGCUUAGAAGCAGCCAUCAUUUAAAGAAAGCGUAAUAGCUCACUGGUCGAGUCGGCCUGCGCGGAAGAUGUAACGGGGCUAAACCAUGCACCGAAGCUGCGGCAGCGACACUAUGUGUUGUUGGGUAGGGGAGCGUUCUGUAAGCCUGCGAAGGUGUGCUGUGAGGCAUGCUGGAGGUAUCAGAAGUGCGAAUGCUGACAUAAGUAACGAUAAAGCGGGUGAAAAGCCCGCUCGCCGGAAGACCAAGGGUUCCUGUCCAACGUUAAUCGGGGCAGGGUGAGUCGACCCCUAAGGCGAGGCCGAAAGGCGUAGUCGAUGGGAAACAGGUUAAUAUUCCUGUACUUGGUGUUACUGCGAAGGGGGGACGGAGAAGGCUAUGUUAGCCGGGCGACGGUUGUCCCGGUUUAAGCAUGUAGGCUGGUUGUCCAGGCAAAUCCGGAUAAUCAAGGCUGAGGUGUGAUGACGAGGCACUACGGUGCUGAAGUAACAAAUGCCCUGCUUCCAGGAAAAGCCUCUAAGCAUCAGGUAACAUCAAAUCGUACCCCAAACCGACACAGGUGGUCAGGUAGAGAAUACCAAGGCGCUUGAGAGAACUCGGGUGAAGGAACUAGGCAAAAUGGUGCCGUAACUUCGGGAGAAGGCACGCUGGUGUGUAGGUGAAGUCCCUGCGGAUGGAGCUGAGACCAGUCGAAGAUACCAGCUGGCUGCAACUGUUUAUUAAAAACACAGCACUGUGCAAACACGAAAGUGGACGUAUACGGUGUGACGCCUGCCCGGUGCCGGAAGGUUAAUUGAUGGGGUUAUCCGUAAGGAGAAGCUCUUGAUCGAAGCCCCGGUAAACGGCGGCCGUAACUAUAACGGUCCUAAGGUAGCGAAAUUCCUUGUCGGGUAAGUUCCGACCUGCACGAAUGGCGUAAUGAUGGCCAGGCUGUCUCCACCCGAGACUCAGUGAAAUUGAACUCGCUGUGAAGAUGCAGUGUACCCGCGGCAAGACGGAAAGACCCCGUGAACCUUUACUAUAGCUUGACACUGAACAUUGAGCCUUGAUGUGUAGGAUAGGUGGGAGGCUUUGAAGCGUGGACGCCAGUCUGCGUGGAGCCAACCUUGAAAUACCACCCUUUAAUGUUUGAUGUUCUAACGUUGGCCCCUGACCGGGGUUGCGGACAGUGUCUGGUGGGUAGUUUGACUGGGGCGGUCUCCUCCCAAAGCGUAACGGAGGAGCACGAAGGUUAGCUAAUCCUGGUCGGACAUCAGGAGGUUAGUGCAAUGGCAUAAGCUAGCUUGACUGCGAGCGUGACGGCGCGAGCAGGUGCGAAAGCAGGUCAUAGUGAUCCGGUGGUUCUGAAUGGAAGGGCCAUCGCUCAACGGAUAAAAGGUACUCCGGGGAUAACAGGCUGAUACCGCCCAAGAGUUCAUAUCGACGGCGGUGUUUGGCACCUCGAUGUCGGCUCAUCACAUCCUGGGGCUGAAGUAGGUCCCAAGGGUAUGGCUGUUCGCCAUUUAAAGUGGUACGCGAGCUGGGUUUAGAACGUCGUGAGACAGUUCGGUCCCUAUCUGCCGUGGGCGCUGGAGAAUUGAGGGGGGCUGCUCCUAGUACGAGAGGACCGGAGUGGACGCAUCACUGGUGUUCGGGUUGUCAUGCCAAUGGCACUGCCCGGUAGCUAAAUGCGGAAGAGAUAAGUGCUGAAAGCAUCUAAGCACGAAACUUGCCCCGAGAUGAGUUCUCCCUGAGACUUUAAGUCUCCUGAAGGAACGUUAAAGACGAUGACGUUGAUAGGCCGGGUGUGUAAGCGCAGCGAUGCGUUGAGCUAACCGGUACUAAUGAACCGUGAGGCUUAACCUUACAACGCCGAAG